This 253-nucleotide ribosomal RNA is filed under the name uncultured bacterium. Its description in RNAcentral is "partial 16S ribosomal RNA". It matches the Rfam family "Bacterial small subunit ribosomal RNA", at positions 524 to 776 of the family's 1533-position model. The record is from RNAcentral.
UACGUAGGGUGCAAGCGUUGUCCGGAAUUAUUGGGCGUAAAGAGCUCGUAGGCGGUUUGUUGCGUCGGCUGUGAAAUCCCGAGGCUCAACCUCGGGUCUGCAGUCGAUACGAGCAAACUAGAGUGUUGCAGGGGAGACUGGAAUUCCUGGUGUAGCGGUGAAAUGCGCAGAUAUCAGGAGGAACACCGGUGGCGAAGGCGGGUCUCUGGGCCGAUACUGACGCUGAGGAGCGAAAGCGUGGGGAGCGAACGGG